AUCGGUGUCGUUCAACGGUAGGACGUCAGUCUCCAAAACUGAAUAUGGACGUUCGAAUCGUCCCACCGGUGCCA
Molecule: transfer RNA, 74 nt
Filed under: Bradyrhizobium barranii subsp. barranii
Lineage: Bacteria; Pseudomonadati; Pseudomonadota; Alphaproteobacteria; Hyphomicrobiales; Nitrobacteraceae
Description: Bradyrhizobium sp. 144S4 tRNA-Trp
Rfam family: tRNA
About the family: Transfer RNA (tRNA) molecules are approximately 80 nucleotides in length.
Source: RNAcentral